ACUAUUCCUAGGCUUUCUCUUCGUUUUCUUUGUACCAUUGAGUUGGCAUUUGUAACUAACUUUUGUGUGACCCAAUGUACCGCAUCUUUUGCACCUACGUUUUCCUCUUACCAUCGUUUUGGGCUUUUCUUGUUCAGUUGGUUUUGCCUUUGAACUGAUGCCACCUUCAUCAUGUUUUGUCUCUGAACUGUUGCCGCCUUGAAGGGAACUUUUGAACCUCAAAUUUCUGUCUGCCAACAGUUCUUUUGCAAAUUGGUGCACCCAUAUCAAAUGGAAUUUCUACUGUGGGCCAUUGUGACUUGUCAGGCAGUGGCUCUAUCAAUCUUUUAUAUGCCUAUCUGAACAUUGGAACAGAGUAGUAUUCAUGAACAAAUCCUCAAGCUUCACAUUUCUGUUUUGCACUGCUGUUAGCAAGGCCAAUGCAUGCUCGCAAGGCUUGCCAGUAUGUUGCUACUCUUCACAAGUGCAGUCAUGUAAAUGUUCCUUGAUAGCAUGUCGAUCAUGAUGAUUGUGGCUGCUGUCGUACACCUCUGCAUCAUGUAAGUCAGCUUUCACAACAGUUAAGUGUCCCAACCCUCUAGUUCUUGCAUUCAAUUGGUGGAGGACAGCUGGUAGUAUCUUGCCUUGAAGUCGUUCUCCAAUUUUUCUUAUCUUCUCCCGUGGUAUCAUUAUCAUUUCCCUUAUCUUAUCAACAUGAUCAGUCACUGGCAAGUCCUUUAUGUCUCUACUCUCUAAUCCAAUUGUUGAAACACUCCGCUAGAUUGUUAGUAAUAUAAUCACACUUAAUUUCUUGGUUGAAGUCACAUCUCAUCCAUUUCAGUGAAUGGUGUUCAUCAAGUCUCAACUGCAGGGUACAUACGUGAAUAAAUGACACCACUAUAUCUCUUCAUAAAGUUUUGCGUGAGGUACCUAAAACAUUCCCUUUGAUUUGCAUAAGGAAACACUUGUACCACUGCCUUUUCUAAUCCCUUACAAGCAUCUGUGCAAAUUGCUAGCUGGGGCAUGUCUCCUAUAGCCCUACGCAACUGCUUCAUAAACCAAACCCAGUUAUACUCUGGUUCAGAUUGUAUUAAUCCAAAUGCAACAGGAUACAUCCAGUUAUGACCAUCUAUAUCUGUUACUGAUUCCAAUUGGCCGUUCCACCUACCAUUUAGUGCAGAUAAGGCCUACAUCCUGCUAAAAAACCCUCAAUGCAAGGAGCAAGUGCACAAUAAAAUCGAGUUAGAGGGGCGACCUAUCUUUGGUUAGCAGUUCGAACAGCCGAAAUACGUAAACAAAACCACAUAGCAGAAUAGAUUAUAUACCUUAGGUUCAUGUCCCAAGAGUUGGAGGUGGGUUCCAUGUCCAAAUCUGGCAUAGCACCACCUCUCCAUGGGCAAUGGAUCACAGAUUUAGAGCCAACAUCACAAAAUCUAUUGGUUCAUGCGUCCAAAAAAACAAGGGAUUUUAGAAAUCGAAGGUGGAUAACAGAAACAGAGGGAAUACAACUGGAACACCAUUCUUACCUCAAAUCUGCUGCCUGUGGGCUUGGAGGAGAACCAAAUGUUGAGUUAUGCGUGCUUGAGUGUCCAAUCCUCUGUGCGCCGCCGGGGAGAACACAACUCUCGUUCAUUUUUAGUCCAAGCAAACAGAGGCAAGAUGACCGUAUCUUGACCUAAGGACAGAGCUAUUUUUUCCCGUGGCUGAAGAGCUGUAAAAGAACAAGUUGAUGGAUUAUAUGAGGCUGGAUGGCAUAACAACAGUGAGGAUCAUUUGAUAGUGGCAAUGCAGCGAAGCCACCUUUCUGGGGUGGUGAUCUUGCAAAUUUCUCAGUUCUGGACAUCAACGACGUUGUCCUGGAGAACGGAGGAUGCGGGCGCGGGACGAAGAGUGGACUACUGUCCAUGCAUGGAUGCCGACUUUUCGGCGUCACAAUCGAUCAGCGCCAAGAAUGAUGAAGACACGAGCUUGGUAGAUGGAAGGAUUAGCAACGCCAAGGCGUCAAUGCUAUGCAAGAAGAACAUGCGAUGCGAGCAAAGCACCACCAACAAUUUUUAAUUUUUUUAUUUUUUUAUCGAACGCGCAGGAGAACUGCACAUCUUAUAUAUUAGAGAGGAAUAAAAAACCUUACAAAAAGGAGAUUUUGCUGGGCAAGUCUCUCAAGGCCCCCACACAAAAACCCGAAGGAAAUUACAAACUGGAACCGUAACUUGACCCGACCUCGGCCAGAGCUACAACUAAGCCUAGGCUCUCAAGCUCCUUAGCUCCUGCUAUUGCCCAGCUAACACACUCAUCUUUGUUUUUAUAAUGAUAGAUGAGAAGGUUGAGUUCUAUAGUUCUUUUAUCUUUGUUUUUCAGGUACAAUUCUUAUAGUUCUUUUUAUCUUUGUUUUUAGGUACAAGUCAUAUAGUUCCAUAACUCUAUGCCAUGCUUUUGGAGUAUCUGGAGCGAUACAGCACUUGGCAGGAAUGAUCGAAUGAGACUCGAAGGUUAAUAAAGAUGUUGAUGCCCCCAUAUUUCAGGUUGCAGAUUACGGAGUGGUUGCUGAUCUGUUUGAGGUUCUGGAUGAGUUACUGAAGCAGAUCCCAAAGAAGAAAUAAGCGACCGUUAAUUUGUUGCUGAUGUUUUCCCUUUUUCUGAAGAAGGAACCUUUGGAAUAUUGGUGAUUGGCCUGAAGAAGGUAGAAAGGGUGGUCUGGAUCAACGACAAAGGUUAAAUAAGACAAUUUUCUUGUU
Long non-coding RNA from Zea mays, 2714 nucleotides. RefSeq lists it as uncharacterized. The record is from RefSeq and is a predicted model, not a curated record. Lineage: Eukaryota; Viridiplantae; Streptophyta; Magnoliopsida; Poales; Poaceae. The transcript is spliced from 4 exons.